This 253-nucleotide ribosomal RNA is filed under the name uncultured bacterium. RNAcentral describes it as "partial 16S ribosomal RNA". It matches the Rfam family "Bacterial small subunit ribosomal RNA", at positions 524 to 776 of the family's 1533-position model. The record is from RNAcentral.
UACGAAGGGUGCAAGCGUUAAUCGGAAUUACUGGGCGUAAAGCGUGCGCAGGCGGUUUUGUAAGCCAGAUGUGAAAUCCCCGGGCUUAACCUGGGAAUGGCAUUUGGGACUGCAAGGCUGGAGUGUGGCAGAGGAGACUGGAAUUCCCGGUGUAGCAGUGAAAUGCGUAGAUAUCGGGAGGAAUACCGAUGGCGAAGGCAGGUCUCUGGGCUGACACUGACGCUCAUGCACGAAAGCGUGGGGAGCAAACAGG